GAUGAACGCUGGCGGCGUGCUUAACACAUGCAAGUCGAACGAAGCACUUUAUUUGAUUUCCUUCGGGACUGAUUAUUUUGUGACUGAGUGGCGGACGGGUGAGUAACGCGUGGGUAACCUGCCUUGUACAGGGGGAUAACAGUUGGAAACGGCUGCUAAUACCGCAUAAGCGCACAGCAUCGCAUGAUGCAGUGGGAAAAACUCCGGUGGUAUAAGAUGGACCCGCGUUGGAUUAGCCAGUUGGUGAGGUAACGGCCCACCAAGGCGACGAUCCAUAGCCGACCUGAGAGGGUGCCCGGCCACAUUGGGACUGAGACACGGCCCAAACCCCUACGGGAGGCAGCAGUGGGGAAUAUUGCACAAUGGGCGAAAGCCUGAUGCAGCGACGCCGCGUGAGCGAAGAAGUAUUUCGGUAUGUAAAGCUCUAUCAGCAGGGAAGAUAAUGACGGUACCUGACUAAGAAGCACCGGCUAAAUACGUG
Molecule: ribosomal RNA, 481 nt
Filed under: uncultured bacterium
Lineage: Bacteria
Description: partial 16S ribosomal RNA
Rfam family: Bacterial small subunit ribosomal RNA
Source: RNAcentral